Molecule: ribosomal RNA, 566 nt
Filed under: Nocardia sp. 384B10
Lineage: Bacteria; Bacillati; Actinomycetota; Actinomycetes; Mycobacteriales; Nocardiaceae
Description: bacterial SSU rRNA
Rfam family: Bacterial small subunit ribosomal RNA
Source: RNAcentral
GAGCGGCGAACGGGUGAGUAACACGUGGGUGAUCUGCCUCGUACUCUGGGAUAAGCCUGGGAAACUGGGUCUAAUACCGGAUAGGACUACCGGAUGCAUGUCUGGUGGUGGAAAGAUUUAUCGGUGCGAGAUGGGCCCGCGGCCUAUCAGCUUGUUGGUGGGGUAACGGCCUACCAAGGCGACGACGGGUAGCCGACCUGAGAGGGUGACCGGCCACACUGGGACUGAGACACGGCCCAGACUCCUACGGGAGGCAGCAGUGGGGAAUAUUGCACAAUGGGCGGAAGCCUGAUGCAGCGACGCCGCGUGAGGGAUGACGGCCUUCGGGUUGUAAACCUCUUUCGACAGGGACGAAGCGCAAGUGACGGUACCUGUAUAAGAAGCACCGGCCAACUACGUGCCAGCAGCCGCGGUAAUACGUAGGGUGCGAGCGUUGUCCGGAAUUACUGGGCGUAAAGAGCUUGUAGGCGGUUCGUCGCGUCGAUUGUGAAAACUUGCAGCUCAACUGCAAGCUUGCAGUCGAUACNGGGCGGACUAGAGUACUUCAGGGGAAAACUGGAAUUCCU